UUCACAAAAGGUUCUAAAAUAAGACUUAGUUGUACAAAAUGAAAGCUAAAAUAUCCAGUUGACGUGGAUCACUAGCUUCAUGGUCCAUUGUGAGUGCAGUCCUUCUGUUUGCUUCCUACAAAAGUUAAACAAGUCCCAAUUAUAAUACACUAUCAAAAACUGAAUUUCCUUUGAUUUUUUUAAUUUGCAAACAUUCCAUAUGUAAAGCAGUCCCUUUUUUUGUUCAGUGAACCACAUGCUGCUAGAAAUGUUAUUAUAUCUUAAAACAUUUACAUGUAAAUAGUGUUGACUGCUUACACACUAGUUUCUAGAAAUAAUAGAAGGGCUUAGCUAUCCAUACCAAAACUGGAAAAAAGAUCGCCUAAGUCAUGCAAUUAGAACAUGUAACAAUUCAAAUAACAAUGCGAACUACAGAAAGUGUCAUAUGGGGAACUAGGUAAGAGGAGCAGCUACAACAGGAACUAGGCAUACGUAUGCAGUAGCACUUGCCAUAAUUGAAAGGAAGGGGCAGAAAGAAAAUGAGGAAGAUGUCUACAAAACCAUGUCAUGUGUCCAUGGCUUAACUAAUUCCUGAUGCUAUAAACCAAGGUACUACAGAGAUUUAACUCGAGAUUUCACCAAACAUGAAUAAGAAAAUGAUGGUAUUAGUGGCAGAACUAAAAUCUCUAGCAAAUAAUGUAGGCGGACAAUUUCCGAUGCUAACCACGACUUGACAAUCUACGUCUCUUGAAGUGGCAUAUAUUUAAUUGUCUAAAAAGGCUAUAUUAAAAAUAGGGAUUCUAAUACUAAUUAGCUAGCUCGACAUCAAAUCUGAAUCUGAAAAUAUUUAAGAGGGCAUUUCCAACACAAAUAUAUGCUCACCUCCAAUAACAAAAGUCCGGUCCAUAUACAUAUUCUAGUUGUAGUUACAACAAAUUAACUUGGUCAUACCUUUUAGAACAGAGUAAAGAAAGUGCCUCAAUUGUCAUCUAAAUAGAAAAAUUGGGAUGGAUAUUUAUAUCUAGUAUAUAAAGAACAGAACAUGGCAACAUUCCUAGAUAUCUAACAUUUAUAGAGUAACAUGAAUAAGAAUAGAAAAAAUGAAUGUAUGUGUGAAUUUACAUCACGAGACCAAAAACGUCUGCAAACCAAAAUAGAUUCAACAAAAAAAGUGACUGCGUAAUAAGUGCACUGAACCUGAACGUUGCACUUGAGGCCCCUUUGCACCUGAACAUGGAGAAAACCUGGUAAGUUCCUCACAGAAUCACUUCAUCAUUUUCACAUAUGUUCGAUCCCUUGUUCUUCUCUUCACAUCUGGAACCAGAACUCAUUUCAGUAGUAUAUGAAAGCAAAUAAUGCAUAAUUCAGAAGACCACUUAAGUAUUAUAUAGAAAACAUUCAUAUAUACAAAAAGCUAAAAAUUAGAUUAAAAAGUAAUCUAUACCCAACGGAACAGUAUAUAUAUGCAAACCGAUACAACUUAAUUCAGUCUAAAUGUAAAUUACAGAAAAAUGCAACUGUAAUAUCUAUAGAAAAAGACUGAGAAUAAAUUAGAACAGCAGCUUAAUUACUUCAUUCCAGAACUACUGAAGAAAAAUUACAAACAAAAUACAGCUGGAAAUCUAUAAAAGCGAAAAGGAUAAAUUACAAAACCACUUAAUACAUAUUAACUCUUCAUUCCAAAAGUGAACUAUUCUGAAUGUUUUACAGAACUACUGAAGCAAAUUCAAAGUACAACUGUAAAAUGUGUAGAACAUGCCUGCAACUUAGAAACUGAUAAGAUACAUAUUUAAUCUUGUUUCCAGAAACUGAACUGAAGUUUUACAGAUACGUAUUUAAUCUUGUUUUCCAGAAACUGAACUGAAGUUUUACAGAACAAAUGUUCCAAAAUUACAGAUAAAAAAAGGUUGCAGACGUAUACAAGCCUAGGAGUAAAACCACUUAACAUCUCAACUACUCUGGAAGCUACAGAACUAUCGAAGCAAAUUUAUGGAGAAAAUACAACUAUAAAAUUUAUAGAAGCAUGACUGUACAAAUACAAACUGCUAGAUAUGUAUUUUAUCUUGAUUCCACAAAAAUUGUACUAAGUUCUACAGAACACGAAAUUACAGAGGAAAGACUUGUAAGUUAAUAAAAGCCCAGCUGUAAAACCACUUAAGAACUGAACUAAUCUGCAAGUUUUACAGAACUAAUUUUGCAAAAAUAUAGAAAUACAACAGUAAAUCUAUACAACCGUGAGUGAUGCUAUGUCUUCCUACCAAAAAUCCUUCUGCUAGAAUUGGAGCACUGAGACUAACAAUUUAACAAACACUUGCAGUGUGUUGCC
This 2305-nucleotide long non-coding RNA is filed under the name Triticum aestivum (bread wheat). RNAcentral's name for it is "long non-coding RNA (TAES_LNC017517)". The record is from RNAcentral. Lineage: Eukaryota; Viridiplantae; Streptophyta; Magnoliopsida; Poales; Poaceae.